UACAGAGGGUGCAAGCGUUAAUCGGAGUUACUGGGCGUAAAGGGCGCGUAGGCGGUUGUUUGUGUGAGAUGUGAAAUCCCUGGGCUUAACCUAGGAACUGCAUCUUAAACUGGAUGACUGGAGUACUGUAGAGGGUAGUGGAAUUUCCGGUGUAGCGGUGAAAUGCGUAGAGAUCGGAAGGAACACCAGUGGCGAAGGCGGCUACCUGGACAGAUACUGACGCUGAGGCGCGAGAGCGUGGGGAGCAAACAGG
This 253-nucleotide ribosomal RNA is filed under the name uncultured prokaryote. Its description in RNAcentral is "partial 16S ribosomal RNA". It matches the Rfam family "Bacterial small subunit ribosomal RNA", at positions 524 to 776 of the family's 1533-position model. The record is from RNAcentral.